GAAGCAUGGACAUACUCAUAAUUUUGUUGUGUCUGUCGUCUUUCGAAACAAAAGAGUUACAAGACGAUUUUGAAACCGACGACGAAAUGCCUGCAGUCGGUCCCCCAGAAGACAUUGAAUUUCCUAGACCAGUUGAUUUUUUAAAUAUUAAACGGGACGGUUUUGGGGACGUUGAAUUUAAACAACCGAUCAAUUAUGUAGAGCUUGAUAUGAUUAGACCAAGAAAUAGGGAACACGCAAAAGAAUUACUUAAAAAAGCGAAGAAAAAUAAAAUAUUGUGGAUUCCUAAGAGUGAGAUUAUGGUAUUUAACAGUCCUCGUGAUGAAUUUUUGUAUUAUAAGAGGCUAUAUGAUACUGUCAAAAAUGCAACGAGUGUUGGUACAAAGUAUAUACCUGAUUUCUCAAAGAAUUUAGAAAGAAACUUAGCACAUCCGUUAAUCAACCCGGGAACAUCAAGUGACACAAAGCUAAGACCAACUGAAAGAAACGACAGGCAAUAUAUCCCUAGAAAUAAUAUCUCUGAUUAUUUCGCAGAAAACUCUUUUUACAUAAAAACUGAUUAUUAUCAAAAUAUAAAUUGGACAACUUGCGACGAAUUUUCUAAAAAAGCCCUUUUCCAUCCGGACGACAUCGUCGAUACAAAAUGGAUACCAUUUUACAUUUGGUCAAAGCGAAAUUUUUCAAUAGCCGUUAUACACACUUUUACAUAUCCAACGAAGAAGCGAGUAAAUUACUAUAGAACAAAUUUUGGACCUUAUAUCAAAAACAUAGACUGGUCUCAGCCUAAAUUACUCUUAAAGGGAAAUAGAGAAACUCUUUUGAUCGCUGGCGACAGGAAAGGACUGUUUUAUGAAAUUCCAGAUCAAGAACCUCCAAAGCCUGAACAAGGUAAAGUAAUAUUACCUACGUUGAGCUUACGGAUAAAGAUAAUUAAUCCAUACAUAGCACUGAUGUAUUGUGAAGAGUUCUAUGCAACCAUAAUGGCUGAACUGGGAACGGAACCACAGGAAACUGAAGAAAAAAUUAGUAAGGCAACCAAAUUACGUUUUAGCGGUAUUGGAAUUCCGGCUGAAAGGGAUAUUGAAAAUGAAAAGAAACUAGAAGAUCUUAAAAUUUCCAACGAACAAAGGAGAGCUGAUGAUAAAGUUGGAUAAGAAGUUAGAUAUUAGCUGUAAUAAAAAAUUCAAAUAUCUGUAAAGCUGUACUUCAAUAGUUCUACAAUAAUUUUCAAACGACAUUCAGUUCAGACGAUUGGUUUGUAAACACUUAUAGUGAACGUCAAUAUUACGACUAAAAUAUGUUUAAAAAUGUAAAACAUCCUUUCUGACGGAUAUAUUAACUGUGAGACAGCGAACAUGGAACAGAACUACUGUAACAAUGUUAAAUUUUAAUAUCAUAUCGGGAUUAUUUGUGACUGUGGUCAUAUUAGCGGUAGGGAUGGUACAAAACGGUUCAUUCCCGACUAUGGAUACAUCUGAGACGACUACAUGUGAGGAAUUCAGCCGCUUCGCCAGAUUUAAUCCAUACUCCGUUCUGGAUGACGAGUGGAUGGUUUUUUAUUAUUGGGGACCCUCCCAAAGCCCCAUGUUCGUCAGAUUUUUCAUACCAACUAAAAAGGUUUAUAAUACAUUUUUAACUUGUUCACUUAUGAGUGUAUAUAGACAUAUAUUAUCAUCGUAAAAUAAUUAAUUAAAUAUGUUGGUGAGCAAAAAAAAAAUAUCACAAAACAUGUGAUUCUUUAUUAUUUUACUGUCAUUUAUAGUAUUUCAUGUGUAAGAUUUUUGGAUAAUGUUGUUGGUUAGUUAUUUUUUUAUCAUUACUCUGUUAUUUAAGUAAAUAAAAAGUUUUAUCAUUAUUUUUCUAAUAAGCAUAUAGCUUAUAUGAGGUAUGAAAUGGAGCAUCAUUUAGUAGCGCCAAUUAAUUGGACAGCAAGAGGUGUGUUCAUGAAAGAGAGGACUAACAUGACCUAUUACUUAGAAGAGGUCUCAGACAGAGGACAUUAUAAAUUGUACGAACUCUUCAGAGACAUAAAAGAAAACGUUGUACUCACACCCGUCGACGUAAGAUUUAAACAAACCAGUGACACUCGGUAUUUCGCUGUCAUGAACUGUGCGGAUGAUGUUGUGUUCCUGUUCUCAAGAGUCGCACACGUGCCUAAGAAGAAAGAGAUCCCGGAGGUGGUUUCCAUCUUUGGGUACCGAGGUCGUGGGGGCAGGUCGUAUCUGUACCAGGGACACCACUGGAUGCCUAUUGAUGAAGCUGAUGAUGCGGACUAUGAAGACGCCUUGAAACGAAAUUAUUGACGUUCUUAAUCGAUAAAAUAUAUUCCAUUUUAUAUCGGUAUAUAAAUAUAAUAAAACUUUUAAAAUCGAAGCAGAGUUACAAAUAAUAUUGACCUACAUGCGUGCAGGUUUAUCUACGAAUAAAAUAAAUCAAAAUAUGAUCCUUGAUUGUAAAUUUAAAUGUUUAUAAUUAAAUGUAGAAAUUGUUAUUUUUCUUUAAAUUGUUAUAUAAUAGGAACUUCUUUUAUUAUUA
Danaus plexippus (monarch butterfly) is the source of this 2535-nucleotide RNA transcript. RefSeq lists it as uncharacterized. NCBI's taxonomy places the organism in Eukaryota, Metazoa, Arthropoda, Insecta, Lepidoptera, Nymphalidae. The record is from RefSeq and is a predicted model, not a curated record. The transcript has 5 exons.